This 267-nucleotide long non-coding RNA is filed under the name Elaeis guineensis (African oil palm). Its description in RNAcentral is "long non-coding RNA (EGUI_LNC056500)". The record is from RNAcentral. Lineage: Eukaryota; Viridiplantae; Streptophyta; Magnoliopsida; Arecales; Arecaceae.
UUGAGCGUCGGAGGGUCUUGCUGGAGCAACCCCACCUCCGGUUUAGACUUCCUUUGCAGGUCCCGGUGGCGAUCGUGACUUCCUCGACUCCAGCUUCUCCAGCGCAAGCGGAUUUUUGCACCAACACAUACGAUUUUGAAUCCUAUGGAACUUGUGAAUCUUGCUUUAUGGAAAAGAUGACCAAAACCCCAUUUACUAGAUAUGGGGAGGGCGUGAGCAAGUUAUUAGGCCUCAUACAUACAGAUGCUUAAGGGAAAAUGGCAACUC